CGGCGGUCAUAGCGUGGGGGAAACGCCCGGUUCCAUUCCGAACCCGGAAGCUAAGGCCCACAGCGCCGAUGGUACUGCAACCGGGAGGUUGUGGGAGAGUAGGUCGCCGCCGGACA
RNAcentral lists this ribosomal RNA (116 nucleotides) under Micrococcus luteus. Lineage: Bacteria; Bacillati; Actinomycetota; Actinomycetes; Micrococcales; Micrococcaceae. RNAcentral also lists the same sequence under 2 other names. The record is from RNAcentral.